This 256-nucleotide ribosomal RNA is filed under the name uncultured bacterium. Its description in RNAcentral is "partial 16S ribosomal RNA". It matches the Rfam family "Bacterial small subunit ribosomal RNA", at positions 99 to 353 of the family's 1533-position model. The record is from RNAcentral.
CGCACGGGUGAGUAACACGUAUCCAACCUGCCGUCUACUCUUGGACAGCCUUCUGAAAGGAAGAUUAAUACAAGAUGGCAUCAUGAGUCCGCAUGUUCACAUGAUUAAAGGUAUUCCGGUAGACGAUGGGGAUGCGUUCCAUUAGGCAGUUGGUGGGGUAACGGCCCACCAAACCUUCGAUGGAUAGGGGUUCUGAGAGGAAGGUCCCCCACAUUGGAACUGAGACACGGUCCAAACUCCUACGGGAGGCAGCAUG